AUCGCUUCUCAACCUUUUGGCUAAGAUCAAGUUUAGUAUCUGUUCUUAUCAGUUUAAUAUCUGAUAUGUCCUCUAUCUGAGGACAAUAUAUUAAAUUACUACAAAGCACCAGCUGAUGAUGUAACUAGA
RNAcentral lists this small nuclear RNA (129 nucleotides) under Dasypus novemcinctus (nine-banded armadillo). RNAcentral's name for it is "U2 spliceosomal RNA (ENSDNOG00000027662.1)". The stretch from base 1 to 114 matches the Rfam family "U2 spliceosomal RNA". Rfam says of the family: U2 is a small nuclear RNA (snRNA) component of the spliceosome (involved in pre-mRNA splicing). Complementary binding between U2 snRNA (in an area lying towards the 5' end but 3' to hairpin I) and the branchpoint sequence (BPS) of the intron results the bulging out of an unpaired adenosine, on the BPS, which initiates a nucleophilic attack at the intronic 5' splice site, thus starting the first of two transesterification reactions that mediate splicing. The record is from RNAcentral. Lineage: Eukaryota; Metazoa; Chordata; Mammalia; Cingulata; Dasypodidae.